ACCUAAAACCUAGAGACCUAACAAGCUACAGCUGUCACCCUCACAAGGAACGACCCCUCAUCUUCUUCUUCAACCAAAAGAAGACCUGAACCUUAGAGAACAACAAAGGGAACGACCUCUCCAGCCGCAGACGCUCCUUCUUGAACCAGCGACGAACUCGCCGAAAAGAGCUAACUCCUCUCCAAAGAGAACCAGCGGCUGCUUCUUGACCUCGACACCCAAUGACCACUCCUCCAUAACCACCCUUCAAAGAACAAACCAUCUUCAACCUCAAAACACCCCCUGAACUUCUACUUCUUCACUCUUGACCAACCCUUUAAGUAGCAGAAGCCAUCAGCGAAAAACUCCAUCCCCCUCACGCCGGACACACGCACACAUGCACCAACAGAACUGGCGAACCACCAAACACUAGUCAAAAAUCGAACUCCAACACCAAAACACUUCAUAACAGCGCUUUUCCUCAUAAAAGUUUUCUGAGGUCGAAGCUCUGUUACCCGAGGUCGCUGGCGAGUUCUCCGUUCCCGGUCCAGUUUUCUCGAGAUUUCUCACCGAGUUUCCAUCUUUGUACUCUCAUAUAUAAAAGGUCCGUUUAUUUUCGUGGUGCCAUAUAAUUAGUGAUGUUUGGAAUUAUUUCAUGUGCUCUAUGCUUUUUAGUCAACAUAGAUAAACUAUGAUCUCAUAGUUUCUUUCGUUAAUGUUUAGCAUUUUAGCUGAUGACUCUUAUCUAUUCUUUUAUAAUUGAUUUGCUCGCUUAAUUUGAAAUAGAGUUGUAAAUAUUGAGAUGUUGUUAGAUUGCUUAAGUUUGUUGAAUUCAUGGUUUUCUGUUGCCUCAAGGAAAUUAGCGAGACUUUCCCUAUGAAUAUGUAUUGAAUGUUUGAGCUCUUUCUUGAUUUAUUGAUUUUUCGUUUGAUU
Non-coding RNA from Nicotiana tabacum (common tobacco), 912 nucleotides. The record is from RefSeq and is a predicted model, not a curated record. NCBI's taxonomy places the organism in Eukaryota, Viridiplantae, Streptophyta, Magnoliopsida, Solanales, Solanaceae.